Molecule: ribosomal RNA, 253 nt
Filed under: uncultured bacterium
Lineage: Bacteria
Description: partial 16S ribosomal RNA
Rfam family: Bacterial small subunit ribosomal RNA
Source: RNAcentral
UACGUAGGGCGCAAGCGUUGUCCGGAUUUAUUGGGCGUAAAGAGCUCGUAGGCGGUCCGUCACGUCGGCUGUGAAAACCCGAGGCUCAACCUCGGGCCUGCAGUCGAUACGGGCAGACUAGAGUGCGGUAGGGGAGACUGGAAUUCCUGGUGUAGCGGUGAAAUGCGCAGAUAUCAGGAGGAACACCCGUGGCGAAGGCGGCCACCUGGGCCGACCCUGACGCUGAGGCGCGAAGGCGUGGGGAGCGAACGGG